RNAcentral lists this ribosomal RNA (253 nucleotides) under uncultured bacterium. RNAcentral's name for it is "partial 16S ribosomal RNA". It matches the Rfam family "Bacterial small subunit ribosomal RNA", at positions 524 to 776 of the family's 1533-position model. The record is from RNAcentral.
UACAGAGGUCUCAAGCGUUGUUCGGAUUCAUGGGGCGUAAAGGGUGUGUAGGUGGCGCGCUAAGUCGGGUGUGAAAUUUCGGAGCUUAACUCCGAAACUGCAUUCGAUACUGGCGUGCUUGAGGACUGGAGAGGAGACUGGAAUUCAUGGUGUAGCAGUGAAAUGCGUAGAGAUCAUGAGGAAGACCAGUGGCGAAGGCGGGUCUCUGGACAGUUCCUGACACUGAGACACGAAGGCCAGGGGAGCAAACGGG